GCGCGGCCGCGCGGCGGCGGCGCCCUGCGCUCAGGCACGGGGCGCGCGGGUGGCCGUUGCAGGGCGCGCUGGGCGGGAAGGCGGCCUGAGGGGAAGUGGUCACCGCCGCCGCCGCCUCCCAGGGGGCCCGCACGCCGUCCUCGGCGAGCUGCGUUGGGCUUUGCGUCUAGUACGGGGCGAUUUGAAAUACUUCGCUAGAAGCAUCGCCGCAGGCAGGUCUGGACAAAUCCUUCCAAAAGGCCUUGAACGGUUCCUCGGUCCGGAGAAGAGCACUGUUUGAGAUCUAACUGCACAAGAAGAGAGAGAAGAGAAAAAGAAACUCUCCAAAAAGCCUGGAAUGGCACUUGCUGAGCCCUUCAGAUGAAAAGGCAGCCAUCCUCAGUACUUGGAAACCAAUAAAAGAGACUGCAAAGGCAGUUUUGCUAAAUAAGUCUUUUCCUUUUGCAGCUUGGACAAAGUGGAGUAUGGCUGUUCUCAAGGACCAAACUGCUAUAUCCAGCUGGAGUUUCAUCUAGGCCAUCCUGCCAAUGGAGCUAACAGUAUGGACCUUCUUCAGAGAAGCAUAAUGCAGUUUAGGGGGGCAGUGCUGGUGGAGAACAACGCAUCACUUUCAGAUGGAGAAGGGAAAGUGACCUGCUCAAAGUAACAAAGUGGAUCACCUGCAGAAAUAUGUACCUUCCUUCCUCAUUCAACUACAGAAGAAAAAUGAGGCUUGCCCAGCUUCUAGCAAGCUGAAACAUGUUCUUUCCAAAGCUUUCAUCCACCAUUUCAAGUUCCUCUGUCAUGCUCUGACAGGCUUUGGGCCUUGACAGCACAAAUCCAGUCUUGAAACCACAUCUCUCCCUUGCCAUCUCCUCACUUCAAGUAUGAGCCUAUUUCAGCAUGGGGAAAGUGAAAAAUUAAGGGAGAUGCCACUAUCCUAUUACAUAAUAGAGGCAGCUGCAAGUGAAUGAGGAUUCUGCUAGGUAAUGCCACAGCCUGAAGAAACACCAUUAUGGUCAUUGUGUCAAUCUCCAUGGCACCACACCCACCCAUGUCAGAUGAGAAAUGGGUCAAAUUUUUCAGUGUCUUUUUAAAUUCCACUGUGGUUUACUGUAUCUCCUGUGAGUAUAGCAUCGUCUUCAUCUGACACCUUGUUUCUUAGGGGACUACAUCCUACCCUGAUUCCUAGGGGAAUGUUGCUGAUGAUCCAAUCUGACUACUGCCUCUGUCUCUACUCAGAAUACAUUAAAAUAACAUGAAAAUAUUACCAACAGUCUGCAAGCAAGGUAAUAACAACUCAUUAAAGUAAUUUCUAACCUUCCACACGAACAUUUUCUUUAUCAUUACAUGAUUUUCUAACACAUGACACAUUAACAUAAAAUGAAAUGGUAUGAGGAUAGGGGUAGUAGGCAUGACAAAGUAUUUUAAAUGGUGAUGAUUUGCUUUGAGGCAUUAAGUCAAUUUGUAAUUGUCCCAUAGCUAUUACAGCAAAAAUUGGAACUUUGUAAUUGGUUUUGAAAAUGUAUUUUUAACACAGUGGGUUUGGUUUUUAAAAUUUAUGUAACCUAUUCAACGUUUUAUGUCUCACAAACCUUGUCCAGAAUGCCACUGGAUUUAUGGAAGUUUUAGGCCUUUUAAAACCCAGUUUUGCAAAAUAUUCAUUCUCUUGCUGUGCACUGAAGCUCCCUCAACACCGACAGUGUCCCUGACAGGAAAAAGGACUGGGUCCUGCUGCAGUCUAAUUGGAAACUUCUGAAGGCUUUUAAUUGCAUGCACUGAUUCUUUUCAAUGGAUCUCAUGCUUCUAUGUUAUGUAAAAAGUGAGAGCAAGUAUAGUAAUGUUUUACCUUAUAUUACCUCACCUGCAGUACUGGGUCCAGCUCAGGUGACUCAACAUGAGAAAGUCAUGGACCUAAUGAGGAGGAGGGCCAUGAAAAUGAUCAGGGGGUUGGAGCACCUCUCCUAGGAGAACAGGCUAAGGGAGCUGAGGUUGUUCAGGCUGGAAAACAGACUCCUACAGCAAGACCUAAUAGCGGCCUUCGAGCACCUGAAGGUGGUCUACAAGAAGGCUGGAGCGGGACUGUUUACAAAGGCCUUUAGUGAUGAGAGGCAAUGGUUCUACAUUAAGAGUUAGGUUGGACAUUAGGAGGAAGCUCUUUUUACCAAGAGGGUAGUGGAACACUGUACCAGACUGCCCAGGGAGGCGGUUGAAGCCCCAUCCCUGGAGAUACUCAAGGCUAGGAUCAGUGGGGCUCUUCACAAUCUGAUCUAACGGUGUCAGUCCCUGCUCACUGCAGGGGGGUUGACUAGAUGACCUUUGGAAGUCCCUUCCAGUGCAAACCCUUCUAUGAUUCUAUAAUUGAUUUGUCUGUGCCUUUUUCUGGACUGCCUUUAGAUUGCAUAGUUGAAAAUGUGAAUUGCCAUAUUUAGGUUCCUGUACUUCAAUAAAAAGCACAUACGUAAUACAGCUAAGAUAAACAACUGGAAGCAAAAUGAAGGGCAGCAAUUACAACAGAGCAAUUAGACCAGACUGGAUCACAAUUAAAUUAUACUUGGAUGACACCUGCUAUCAGUUUUAAGGAUAAUGACAGCACAGAAGUGUGUGUUAUUCCCAAAGAAAUAACUUAAAUGGAAAUUGUUAGAAAGUGAAGCAGGGAAUUAAAAAGAAGCAAUAUUCCAUGUUUUCCCUGAGUGAUAGCUAUUCUUAUGCUUUCCUUCAAGCAGCUGCAAUUCAAACUCUGGCAAAUUUCUUACUUGUACCACUACUAAUGUGGAAAUCACUGGCAACUGGCUGCACUGUAGGUCAGAGCAAUGACGUGCCUCUAGCUGAAACUGAGAAAAAACAGCUAAGAAUAUACAAUCCAGCAAUCUUCUAGUCUGUAGAAGGUCAGUUACAGAUCUAACGUGGCCAUCUAAUUGCCUAGGUGUAGAUGUGAUGGUUACCUGAGAGUUGCAAAUGCCAUCAGAACACACAGGCAGUAAGCCAUGAACAUGUUGACAAGUUAUCCCCUAGCAAGCAAAGACUGAUGCCUGCCCUACCUGCAGCUCAGCUAUUAUACUCAUCUAUGCUGUCUAUAAAACAGAGUAUUAAAGAUGGGCAAAGUGGUCUAUCAGUCAAAAAGCUGAUGACAUUAAGAAGAUGUUUUCACUUCAAAGCUUUGUAUCUCAUCAGCCAUGAUCUCAGUAACAAGAUUGCUGAGAGGCAAUUAGCCACCCAUGUUGUAUAAGUGAAGACAGAGUGCUGAUUUCUGCUCUAACGGGUACAUUUACUUCAAAGAGAACACAGAACAAUUCAGAGUAGCACCCCCUUGUCUCUCUGCUCAGGAAGACAAAUUUUGUAGUGAAAUCCAGCUACGACAAGUCACAUAAGCAUAUAUAUUUAACUGAAAUAACCAAAAAAAUGUACUCCUCACUCCUAGCUGGCAAAAAAGGUCUGCCUCUCAGAGCUCUGGUGUUACCAGAAGGCAGUACUGCACAGCAGUGAUAUUUUAUCCACUCUAUUUCUCUAUCCAAUGUGAUUAGAAAAUGGUAGUGACUUCCUAAGGUAUCUUAAACAAGUAUGAAAAACCUUACACGAACCAAAGACCACUGUAAGUGGACUAGGUACCUCCUGGUACUGCAUUCCUGCUGUUCAGUGAAGAACUGCUCCUAGCUCCUUGGCUUCUUGUUUCAACAAAUCUAGCAUCUUUUAGGGGUGGUGGAUACUGAGGGGAGGGCAGCUCUUACAACAGAGAUGAACAUGCAACAAGUAGGAGGAAUCUUUAAUUUCUCUGUGAUGUUUCUGGUGAAAACAGUGUCUUCCACAAUCUUAAAGUGUCCUAUAAAUCCAUUAAGGAACUUUUUGAUCUAGUCACAAGCUCACUCAUAACUGUAUUCUGACAAACCAUUCACAUCACCUGUCUCUGCUGAAGGCAUCGGCAGAUACCUUUUGUCUUCCUGGCGUGUUUAGCACUCCUGACGUAGCCAUACAGCAGUUACCUGUAAGAACUCACUUCACUUGGCACAUGGCCGCUUCUCCAUCUGCACAGUUCUUUCACAUGAAGCAUGUAGGAAACUUCUAGACAAAAUAAAUGAAUACAGCCCACCUUU
Long non-coding RNA from Pogoniulus pusillus (Red-fronted tinkerbird), 4070 nucleotides. RefSeq lists it as uncharacterized. Lineage: Eukaryota; Metazoa; Chordata; Aves; Piciformes; Lybiidae. The record is from RefSeq and is a predicted model, not a curated record. The transcript is spliced from 7 exons.